RNAcentral lists this ribosomal RNA (407 nucleotides) under uncultured bacterium. RNAcentral's name for it is "bacterial SSU rRNA". It matches the Rfam family "Bacterial small subunit ribosomal RNA", at positions 976 to 1381 of the family's 1533-position model. The record is from RNAcentral.
UAGCCUUGACAUACUACAGAAUUUGACAGAGAUGUUGAAGUGCCUUCGGGAGCUGUAAUACAGGUGCUGCACGGCUGUCGUCAGCUCGUGUCGUGAGAUGUUGGGUUAAGUCCCGCAACGAGCGCAACCCUCGUCCUUAGUUGCCAGCAGGUUAAGCUGGGCACUCUAAGGAGACUGCCUUCGUAAGGAGGAGGAAGGUGAGGACGACGUCAAGUCAUCAUGGCCCUUAUGGCUAGGGCUACACACGUGCUACAAUGGGGCGUACAGAGUGUUGCGAUACCGCGAGGUGGAGCUAAUCACUUAAAGCGUCUCUCAGUUCGGAUAGCAGUCUGCAACUCGACUGCUUGAAGCUGGAAUCACUAGUAAUCGUAGAUCAGCAAUGCUACGGUGAAUACGUUCCCGGGUCU